AAGUCGUAACAAGGUUUCCGUAGGUGAACCUGCGGAAGGAUCAUUAUUGAAUACGUUGGGUUCUGAUGCUGGCUCUUCACUGAGCAUGUGCUCGAUCCAUAACUAUUUAUCUUCUCUUGUGCACCUUUUGUAGUCUUUCAGAGCAAGUGAUAACUCUCGCAGCAAUGCGGUUUGGGGGACUUGGGCGUGAGCCCUUCCCCUUCGUUUGCUUCUUUGGAGGGCUAUGUUUUCAUAUACACUAUAAAGUUACAGAAUGUCUUUUAAAGAUUGUGCUAGUCGCAGUCAUUAAACCUAUACAACUUUCAGCAACGGAUCUCUUGGCUCUCCCAUCGAUGAAGAACGCAGCGAAAUGCGAUAAGUAAUGUGAAUUGCAGAAUUCAGUGAAUCAUCGAAUCUUUGAACGCACCUUGCGCCCUUUGGUAUUCCGAAGGGCAUGCCUGUUUGAGUGUCAUUAAAUUCUCAACCCAGAAAGCUUUUACGAGCUCUUUUGUGGCUUGGAUGUGGGGGUUUUUGCUGGCUUCCUUCAGUGGAUGGUCUGCUCCCCUUAAAUGCAUUAGUGGGAUCUCUUGUGGACCGUCACUUGGUGUGAUAAUUAUCUAUGCCAGUUGACUUUGAAGCAAAACUUAUGGGAACCCGCUCAUAACCGUCUUCGGACAACUUAUUGACAUUUUGACCUCAAAUCAGGUAGGACUACCCGCUGAACUUAA
This 707-nucleotide ribosomal RNA is filed under the name uncultured fungus. RNAcentral's name for it is "eukaryotic LSU rRNA". The stretch from base 298 to 451 matches the Rfam family "5.8S ribosomal RNA". The record is from RNAcentral. Lineage: Eukaryota; Fungi.